GACGAACGCUGGCGGCGUGCCUAAUACAUGCAAGUAGAACGCUGAAGGAGGAGCUUGCUCUUCUGGAUGAGUUGCGAACGGGUGAGUAACGCGUAGGUAACCUGCCUGGUAGCGGGGGAUAACUAUUGGAAACGAUAGCUAAUACCGCAUAACAGUAGAUGUUGCAUGACAUUUACUUAAAAGGUGCAAUUGCAUCACUACCAGAUGGACCUGCGUUGUAUUUGCUAGUUGGUGGGGUAACGGCUCACCAAGGCGACGAUGCAUAGCCGACCUGAGAGGGUGGGCGGCCAGACUGGGACGGAGACACGGCCCAGACUGCUACAGAAGGGAGCAGUAGGGAAACGGCAGGAAGGGGCGGAAGUCUGACCGAGAAGCGCCGAGGGAGGGAAGAGGGUUGUCGGAUCGGAAAGCACGGUUGUAAGGGAAGAACGAGUGUGAGAGUGGAAAGUUCACACUGUGACGGUAACUUACCAGAAAGGAACGGCUAACUACGUG
This 495-nucleotide ribosomal RNA is filed under the name uncultured bacterium. Its description in RNAcentral is "partial 16S ribosomal RNA". It matches the Rfam family "Bacterial small subunit ribosomal RNA", at positions 28 to 507 of the family's 1533-position model. The record is from RNAcentral.